GGCUUAGUGGCCCAAUGGUAAGGCGCUGGUCGCGGAACCAGAGGGUCCUGGGUUCGACGCGCAUUGCUGAGGAG
RNAcentral lists this transfer RNA (74 nucleotides) under Schistosoma japonicum. Its description in RNAcentral is "tRNA-OTHER". Lineage: Eukaryota; Metazoa; Platyhelminthes; Trematoda; Strigeidida; Schistosomatidae. The record is from RNAcentral.